RNAcentral lists this ribosomal RNA (458 nucleotides) under uncultured bacterium. RNAcentral describes it as "partial 16S ribosomal RNA". It matches the Rfam family "Bacterial small subunit ribosomal RNA", at positions 28 to 507 of the family's 1533-position model. The record is from RNAcentral.
GAUCAACGCUGGCGGCGUGCAUGAGACAUGCAAGUCGAACGAAGGAUCGGGCUUGCUCGAUCCUUAGUGGCGGACGGCUGAGUAACGCGUAGGUGACCUACCCCGAAGUGGGGAAUAACUGCCCGAAAGGGUGGCUAAUACCGCAUGUGGUCGCACGUUCAUUCGUGCGAGUAAAGCCGCAAGGCGCUUCGGGAGGGGCCUGCGUCCGAUUAGCUCGUUGGUGGGGUAAUGGCUUACCAAGGCGACGAUCGGUAGGUGGUCUGAGAGGACGAUCACCCAGACUGGGACUGAGGCACGGCCCCGAAUCCUACGGGAGGCAGCAGUCGGGAAUUUUGCUCCAUGGGGGAAACCCUGAAGCAGCAACGCCGCGUGAGGGAUGAAGGCCUUCGGGUUGUAAACCUCUUUUGUCAGGGACGAUGAUGACGGUACCUGGCGAAUAAGCCACGGCUAACUACGUG